This 1889-nucleotide ribosomal RNA is filed under the name Salmonella enterica subsp. enterica serovar Typhimurium str. DT104. RNAcentral's name for it is "bacterial LSU rRNA". It matches the Rfam family "Bacterial large subunit ribosomal RNA", at positions 1143 to 2925 of the family's 2925-position model. Lineage: Bacteria; Pseudomonadati; Pseudomonadota; Gammaproteobacteria; Enterobacterales; Enterobacteriaceae. The record is from RNAcentral.
CACUGGUCGAGUCGGCCUGCGCGGAAGAUGUAACGGGGCUAAACCAUGCACCGAAGCUGCGGCAGCGAACGUAUCACCCAAGACAACUUUACGGAGUUGACGAUUGACGGAGCGAAGCGACGUCAAAGCGUUCAUUAAAGUCGAGUUGGCUUAGGGAUACGUUCGUUGGGUAGGGGAGCGUUCUGUAAGCCUGUGAAGGUGUGUCGUGAGGCAUGCUGGAGGUAUCAGAAGUGCGAAUGCUGACAUAAGUAACGAUAAAGCGGGUGAAAAGCCCGCUCGCCGGAAGACCAAGGGUUCCUGUCCAACGUUAAUCGGGGCAGGGUGAGUCGACCCCUAAGGCGAGGCCGAAAGGCGUAGUCGAUGGGAAACGGGUUAAUAUUCCCGUACUUGGUGUUACUGCGAAGGGGGGACGGAGAAGGCUAUGUUGGCCGGGCGACGGUUGUCCCGGUUUAAGCGUGUAGGUGUGUGUUCCAGGUAAAUCCGGUUCACUUUAACACUGAGGCGUGACGACGAGGCACUACGGUGCUGAAGCAACAAAUGCCCUGCUUCCAGGAAAAGCCUCUAAGCAUCAGGUAACACGAAAUCGUACCCCAAACCGACACAGGUGGUCAGGUAGAGAAUACCAAGGCGCUUGAGAGAACUCGGGUGAAGGAACUAGGCAAAAUGGUGCCGUAACUUCGGGAGAAGGCACGCUGACACGUAGGUGAAGUGAUUUACUCAUGGAGCUGAAGUCAGUCGAAGAUACCAGCUGGCUGCAACUGUUUAUUAAAAACACAGCACUGUGCAAACACGAAAGUGGACGUAUACGGUGUGACGCCUGCCCGGUGCCGGAAGGUUAAUUGAUGGGGUCAGCGCAAGCGAAGCUCCUGAUCGAAGCCCCGGUAAACGGCGGCCGUAACUAUAACGGUCCUAAGGUAGCGAAAUUCCUUGUCGGGUAAGUUCCGACCUGCACGAAUGGCGUAAUGAUGGCCAGGCUGUCUCCACCCGAGACUCAGUGAAAUUGAACUCGCUGUGAAGAUGCAGUGUACCCGCGGCAAGACGGAAAGACCCCGUGAACCUUUACUAUAGCUUGACACUGAACAUUGAGCCUUGAUGUGUAGGAUAGGUGGGAGGCUUUGAAGUGUGGACGCCAGUCUGCAUGGAGCCGACCUUGAAAUACCACCCUUUAAUGUUUGAUGUUCUAACGUGGACCCGUAAUCCGGGUUGCGGACAGUGUCUGGUGGGUAGUUUGACUGGGGCGGUCUCCUCCUAAAGAGUAACGGAGGAGCACGAAGGUUGGCUAAUCCUGGUCGGACAUCAGGAGGUUAGUGCAAUGGCAUAAGCCAGCUUGACUGCGAGCGUGACGGCGCGAGCAGGUGCGAAAGCAGGUCAUAGUGAUCCGGUGGUUCUGAAUGGAAGGGCCAUCGCUCAACGGAUAAAAGGUACUCCGGGGAUAACAGGCUGAUACCGCCCAAGAGUUCAUAUCGACGGCGGUGUUUGGCACCUCGAUGUCGGCUCAUCACAUCCUGGGGCUGAAGUAGGUCCCAAGGGUAUGGCUGUUCGCCAUUUAAAGUGGUACGCGAGCUGGGUUUAGAACGUCGUGAGACAGUUCGGUCCCUAUCUGCCGUGGGCGCUGGAGAACUGAGGGGGGCUGCUCCUAGUACGAGAGGACCGGAGUGGACGCAUCACUGGUGUUCGGGUUGUCAUGCCAAUGGCACUGCCCGGUAGCUAAAUGCGGAAGAGAUAAGUGCUGAAAGCAUCUAAGCACGAAACUUGCCCCGAGAUGAGUUCUCCCUGAGACUUAGAGUCUCCUGAAGGAACGUUGAAGACGACGACGUUGAUAGGCCGGGUGUGUAAGCGCAGCGAUGCGUUGAGCUAACCGGUACUAAUGAACCGUGAGGCUUAACCUU